Betta splendens (Siamese fighting fish) is the source of this 4260-nucleotide long non-coding RNA. RefSeq lists it as uncharacterized. The transcript is spliced from 3 exons. Lineage: Eukaryota; Metazoa; Chordata; Actinopteri; Anabantiformes; Osphronemidae. The record is from RefSeq and is a predicted model, not a curated record.
UUUAUAAAAAGUAUGAUUCCUGCACAAUAAAAUUGUAGGCAGUGAUAAAUUUCACCUUUGCCAUUAAAUAAAAGUAGAAGGAAGACGAUGAAGAAGAUGAUGAUGGUGAAGAAGAUGAAGGAGGAGACGCCCCAAUGAAGAAGACACCGCAGAUGAUUUUAAAGCAGAACCCUGUGUAGGACCUGCAACCUGUCUAGGGUUUGUCCCGCCUCUCGCCUGAUUGACAGCUGGGACGGGAUCCAGCAAAUCCACCACUACUGACGAGGACAAAGCGGCGAGAGGUGCAUUAUGCCACUGAGUCACAGCACUCCAGCUCAGCGGAGAGGCUGCAAAGGUUCACUCACUGGUGGACAGUGAAACUGAUCUUCCUCAGCUAGCAUUAAUAAAUGAUGCCUGCAAGUCACAUUGGGCUAAGUAAUCGAGCGCCAAGUGGCCGAGCUAUGCUGCACAAUUCAUGAAGAGGUUACCCAAGAGUCAGAGCGAGUACAAUUAGAGCACGGUGUUCAGGCUGCAAAUGUAGGAACUGCUCUCAGGACAUGACUACUACUACUAUUUUGUACCGACUUUACAAUACAGACAUUUAACGAGCUGAAUAAACAAUAGCAUUAUUGACCCUAAAAGCUCUUGUUAAAAUAGCAACAAAUAGUUUUACCGAUCGAUAAGACAGAUUGAUGUCUUUAUUCAGACGAUCUCUGGUCGUCUCGUAUCCCAAUUUCACAUCAUCUAUAAUUUCAGAAGUCUAAUUACAGUAAAAGAUGGUGAGAUUUCUUUGCCGUCCGUCAUAAAAGUUGCAUGAACGCCGUGAUCCUUGCUUUAUCACAGUGCUUCACUUUUUCUCUCAUCCCCGUGAAUAGAAGAGAGUUGCGAAGAAGCAACUUUGUGUGUUCUGACGACGGAAGUCCCGUUAAUGCUGGAAGUUGCUAUGCAUUAUAGACAAGCCACAGCUAAGGAGAGCAUAUUCCAACACAGACACUCAAGUCACUUUGAAUAAUUUACCUCCACAAUCUCCAUGAGGCUUGGCUAUACGAGACCACAGUCUGGCGCCAAAUGCUUGUCAUUACGCAUAUGCAGAAUUGAAGAGGUGUUCAGAUAGUUUAAACACUGACGGGCAUUCUGGGAGGCCUUUGUGACAGUGGCUCCCACUUGCAGGCGCAUUUCACUGAUGCUUAUGUGCUGAUUGUUUAAGAACUGAACUCUGCGUUUCCUCGUUGGUUCUCGCGGCUUAUGCAAGAUGGCUCCUCCGCUUGAGAGACGAGGGACUGUGGCCAAUUUAAAAUAAACCUCGGUUUUCCUUUAUAUUUGCCAUCACUGAUGAAACACAUUACGCUAUCUUGGUGUAUGAUUGGAUGAUGUUCUCCCAUUGGAUCUAUUGCAGCAGGCUGUUCUGUUCUACUCGUCCCUGCCGCAUAAAUACUUCACAUGCAGACACCGAGUUUACUCUCACGGAGGUUUUGCAAAAUGAAAUAAAUAUUAAAGCUAAUUAAUUUACUUGUAUGACAGGAAGUGCUUAAAGUACGAUUUGAAUUACUCAGUGAAGCGUCUGCGAUGCUGAUUUCCCAGCGCUCUUGAAUUAAACAAUGACGUUUAUGCAAAGAUGGACCACUAAUGCGAUUCUGUUUGGAUAUGAAGUCUGUGCAGAGACAGCAGAUGAGAUGACCGCGUCCUGGGAGGAGGCCUGGGAGUGGAGCAGAGACGUGGCUCAGACAGAGAGGAACCUCUCUGAUUAAAGGCCUUAUUCCUCUGCUCCUCUUUUAGGCUGCCUCCAAGCUGUAGAGGAUACAAAGCGCCGCCACCACCUUACCUCUAAUCGUUUGGUCAAUACAACGACACAAUAGAACAUGUGCUCAUUAUAUUGUGUCUGCUGAAACGUGUCACUGUAAAAGUGAUUUCAAAGAUAACAGUGACUGUGUAGUUGUACAUAAAUGCUCAUUUCAUGCUGCUCACCUGUUUCGAGAAUUUCCAACCUCUACAUUUACCAACUUCACAUUAUCAUUUAACAUCUGAGACAGGUUUUACUCAAGCAAUAUUAAAAAAUAGAACCAAUUCAUACAGUCCAUAUGAUUAAAAUGUAGGAUUAUGUAGAGAAAUUGAAAGAGGGUCUAUUACACCAUUAUUCUAACUGAAUAUUGUAUUUCUAUGUUUGUCUUUGGAAGCAGUGAUAUUGUUGCCAUGGGCAACUGCACUACCCUAAGCAGCUCUGUGGUGCCUCGAUAUAGAAAGAUUUUUGGUUAGUUAAUCUCCUCUGGGUGGAAAUAAAACAUCAUCUAGGAAACAACCUAGUGAGUGUGAACAGUGAAUAUGCUGUAGUAAAUAGUGCAUGUUUGUACACAGCAGCUUAACACAGAGAAUAUGCCACAGUAAAUACGCAAUGACAAGCAUCCUCCAUAGUCUGACAUAAACUAAAUGUACUGUACUAGCGUGUGACAUUUCUCCUAUAACAGGCUGUAAUAUCUCUGCUUUUAUACUAAGAGGCCAGAACUCUCACACAAGCUGGCCGCUCCGAUUUCUGACCCGUGUACCGUCCCUGAGAGUUCCUGAUUGAACCCUUAAGUGUGACGGAUCUUUUGGCCUUUGUGCACUCUGAUGGGCAUUUAGGCCAAUCAAUUUGUGUCCAGACAUGAUUUCCUGUUUAAAAAGUUUGCAGUCAAAACACACUGAACAGUAAUAGAUUCAACAUAAAUAAAUAAAACACGCUGGCACUCACACACCCCUGCUGAGGCAAACGAUCACUAGUAUUGAGUGAUAAUUGACACUUUCCACAUACGUACAUGUGAUCUUCAUGCUCAUUAUCACUGCGGAGCUGUGGCUGGCUACAGUAACUCUAUAUUACCUACUGCAUAUAAGCGCUGUGACGAGACUUGCACAAAGUUCUGCACAACUUGAACCAGCUUGAACUGUGAGCUGCUCCAGCUCGCCUAUUUAUACACAGCAGGUUGGGAGUUAGUUGGAUCUUUGCUAGAUCCAAAUGAAAGCAAGAGAAUCCCUUUGUUUCUGACAGCAGGCACAUCUGGGGGUGUUGCAAGGCAGGAUGAAAAGACAAUGAAGGGAAGCGUUCCCUUUUAAAUACAGUGUGUUAUUCCUGUAAAACGUGCUGUUGACUAAUUCUGGCAGCGGAGACACAAACACACACACACACACACACACACACACACACACACACAAACACACACACACACACACACACACACGAGUGGAGCUGUGGUGAGUCUAAUCAGGUGUAGCACCGUGUGCCAUUAUUAACUCACACUGACACUAUGCUGUGACGUCCAUGGUCCACUGGGAGUUGUAUCGUAAAUUCUCCCAUGGUGAAAAGCUACUGUACAGUAGAUUCUGUGAUUCCUUUAGCACUGAUGUCAUGUUUUUGUCUGUCUGUUGAUGACUCAUAAGAGAAAUGAAAUGCAGCAUGGGUAUUCUUGGAACACGUACUGUCUGAUUUAUUAUUUCCCCAUUUAUGAUCAUCUGUUCCCCCGCGCCAGUGGUUUGUAGUGCCUCAUGAAGCCAAAUCCCCUAGGAGGAUUACUGUCCACUGGGGCAGAUCAACGGGUGCAUAAGGUGAGGCGUCAGCCCUGGCACUGAAUGAAUAACGUAUGAACCAAUCUAUGGUGCAUCAGAAUAAACAAAGGGAGACGUUAAGAGUCAAAAAGAAAGCUGCCAUGUUUUCGACAUCAGCUGUAACUUUUACCUGCAUGCUCUCACCAUACAAACACAAACCUGACUCCUCUUUGGGAAUGUGUGUGUGUGAUGAUCGCACUUAUCACUGACACAUGACAUUACAUUACAUUAAAACUAUAUUAUUUCACAGUAAAAGUCAUACAUGUUUACAUGAGUUCAGCAAAAAUAGAUGAAUAAAAUAAAACAACCUACAAUCCAUGAGCUUUUGUAAGAUUUCAAUAUACUGUAUGUCCUGUAGGUUUCAUGACAUUAACACUGGCACUUGUCAUAGAGCAACAACCUGCACCCACUGUGAUAUAUUCACUUACUGGAUCUAGAGACAGUUUAGAUGCGUGGACUCAUCGGCUUCAGCAUCCACCCCCACUCCUCUCCACUGCCUCACUUGCUCAUUCAUUUCACAUCAUACAUGAUUGCACAACUUGCUCUCUUGAGCAAUCAAUAACUCAGCAUUUUAAUCACUCUGUUGCGCACAAUGCUCCUGUGUCACACUCUAACGCAUGCCUUUGAUCGUACAUAGCACCUUUUCCGUACAGGCACAGCCACAGCCAGGCGAACACACAGGCAGCAUCCAUUGGACUCACCCUGACA